Molecule: small nuclear RNA, 106 nt
Organism: Lutra lutra (Eurasian river otter)
Lineage: Eukaryota; Metazoa; Chordata; Mammalia; Carnivora; Mustelidae
Source: RefSeq, a predicted model, not a curated record
GCUCACUUUAGGAGCACAUAUACUAAAAUGAGAAUGAUACAGAGAAAAUUAACAUGGCCCGUGUGCAAGAACGACAUGCAAAUGUCAAGUUAUGUCAGUGUUCCUC